This is a non-coding RNA of Vigna umbellata (rice bean), 123 nucleotides long. The record is from RefSeq and is a predicted model, not a curated record. NCBI's taxonomy places the organism in Eukaryota, Viridiplantae, Streptophyta, Magnoliopsida, Fabales, Fabaceae.
CNCAACAACUUUAUUAAUGAACUGAUAAGCCAUGGAAUCGAAGCACAUGUUACACUAUACCAUUGGGACCUACCACAAACACUUGAGGAUGAAUAUGGAGGAUGGGUUAGUCGAAGAGUUGUG